Non-coding RNA from Peromyscus leucopus (white-footed mouse), 461 nucleotides. Lineage: Eukaryota; Metazoa; Chordata; Mammalia; Rodentia; Cricetidae. The record is from the annotation of a RefSeq genome assembly.
CUGCUUGAGGCGAUGUAGGAAACACAGUACACGUGCAGUCACUUGACACUGAUCUAAGGCCGAGGAGACAUAUUCAAAAGAAGGAAAUGUGCCGCACACCUCCUCACAGCCUGCUCUGUGUGCUGGUGGCCUUGGCCUUCUCUGGAUCCAAUUUGGGCCAGAAAGUGACUCAGGUCCAAUCAACUGCAAGCACACAGGAGGGGGAAAAAGUCACUCUGGAAUGUUCAUAUGAGACAAGAUCGGACUUCUAUUUUCUUUUUUGGUACAAGCAGCUUCUUAGUGGAGAGAUGAUUUUUCUUAUUCGCCAGUUUUCUUCUUCUACUCAGACUGAGAAGAGCAGCCGCUACUCUGUUGUCUUUCAGGAAUCAUCCAAGUCCAUCAGCCUUAUUAUUUCAGCCUCACAGCUAGAAGAUUCAGUCAAGUAUUUCUGCACGCUCUCGGAACAGACUCACAGUGUUUGA